GCUCAAAUAGUUUAUGAAAAUAUUGAUUUGUGAUGUCAAAGAUGCGAAUUUCGCUUUGGGCC
This 62-nucleotide transfer RNA is filed under the name Isonychia ignota. Its description in RNAcentral is "tRNA-His". Lineage: Eukaryota; Metazoa; Arthropoda; Insecta; Ephemeroptera; Isonychiidae. The record is from RNAcentral.